This 460-nucleotide long non-coding RNA is filed under the name Androctonus crassicauda. Lineage: Eukaryota; Metazoa; Arthropoda; Arachnida; Scorpiones; Buthidae. The record is from RNAcentral.
CGGAGGACGAGUCCGCAGGGUUGGGCAGCCUACGGAAGAGCUAGUUUCACCUCGUCAUUUAGUAUUCUUAGAGAAUGGAAACGACGAGGAGAGAAUGGAUGUGUUUCUGUAUCAUUAUUUUUUGUCAACAGAUGAUGCCACAAUAAAUAAUAAUAUAGAAACGCAUAUAAAGAUGGCGAUAGAAAUACUUUCAAAUGUAUUUCAUUAAUAUAUGCAUAUUCAUAUAGUGUGUAUAUAUUUUUUAUUCCAUAUUUUAUGCCCCUUUCCCAUCAGGAAGAUUACUAAGGGCGGGCCAGUUCCAAUCACGGGCUGCACCCACACCCGUGGAGGAGACCGGAUGGACGGGAAUCGCCGGGCCGGGCCUAGCUCCCCAAAAAAUUUUUUCAGGAAUUACCAGACCCGGACGCGAACCCGGGUCCUCCUGCAUGGCAUACCAACAGUGUUACCACUCGGCCGGAUG